AGUGAGAUUGCUGGCCCAUAUGGUAAAUGGUUGUUUGAACUUUAUAAUAUGAAACUGGCAAACUGUUUUCAAGAGUGGCCAUGCCAUUUUGCAUUCCUACCAGCAAU
Molecule: microRNA precursor, 107 nt
Filed under: Marmota monax (woodchuck)
Lineage: Eukaryota; Metazoa; Chordata; Mammalia; Rodentia; Sciuridae
Source: RNAcentral